UCGUCGCUCAAGGCCUAGGGAGAGACAUAUCCCCAGCACCACUACCCCCUAGACACACGCACACACACGUACACGUACACCGUCAUACGUUCGCCGAGGGAACCUCUGGCGAGCUCCAGGAAUAACGGCACGGCCGCCUUGCAGUCGCUACGCGUGGUGGCGUUCUGCAUUGCCGCUCGCGCACGGUAUGUGGUAGUGGUCACGUCGGCGGCUCAAGUGCUCCCUGGUAUUGUCACGCCUUUGCGGCGAGGUGUAUCCCGCCUCCUGACUGCCGCGCAGUAGCUUAUCGCGCAGUCUUACACUGCCCUCCCCCUUCCCUCUCCCCUUUCGCUUCAUGCGAUAUACCUAACGUCACUGUUUUUUUUUUUCUUUUUUUUUUCGUUCCAGUCGGUUCUCGUCUUAACCGUCUCGGUUUCCAGCGACGUGUCUCUAAUGAACGUUUCGGGCGACGGAGGGGUUCACCGAGGGACGUGCCCACGCCCAGGGGAAGACUCUGCCUCCAUCUUCGCCACGUUGUCUGGUGCGCUCCCCAAAAAUCAAAAUCACAGCCAGUGCUCUGUGGGGAGCACGAAGGCAUGCAAGGAGGAGGAGGAGGAGAGGCUCAUUGUCGAGGAUGCACUGCGCCGAUUGCCUCAACUCGCCGCGUUUCCGCUACCGUCGAUGUCUCCUUGGGCCUCGAGCCACGUAAAUGAUACACCGGUCGAAAACUCCUCUUUCUACUCGCGUCAAGGUACCUCGUACACUCUGGCAGCUGACGAGGAGGCACUGCUGCUGCAGGAGCUGGUGAACAUCACCGCCGGCGCCGCGCCAUUCGUCUCCACUGCCGCUCAGGAGGAGCAUGCCGCCGGCGGCUUGGAAAAAAGGCCGGGCGAGGCCGCUAGUCUGCUGGGUAGCAGGGAAACAGGCAUACGGGUACCAGCAGCAACAGACACUGCAAAUGGUGAUUGCGCCUCUAGCGCACCGAAAGUGUCGGCAAGCGAGCCCGCUGCCACUUCUCCGGCUGCCUCAUCUGCUCAUUCCUCCACUCACACUGGAAAAGGUGCCAGCUCGUCAAAGAGACGGCGCGCCGUCGCGUCACCCACAUCUUCCAAGACGGCGGUGCUGAAAGAGGAGCAGGACAUCCUUGACGCCAUUUUCGCUGCUGUGGACGGUCAGCAGUCCAGCGUAAGUGGUGAUCUGCUGGGCGAAACGUCGUCUGCGGCGGCGGCUGAAGCGCCGGCAACUUCCGCUGACAGCGAUGAGGAGAUAGACGAGGUGGACCUGGUGCUGGAGCAGGCGAAACAGCUGACCUCAUCGACCGUGUUGUGCGAAACUCAGCGUGGCGAGCUGAUACUGCACGUUCACGAGCACAUGGCGCUUCGCAGCAAACUUGCGGACCUGCGCAAAACGGCCGGGGAGCCGACGUGCGUGGCUGUUGCAGAGCCAUUCGAUAUAAGUGCCAGGGCGCCGACGCACGCAAGCACCGCUUCACCGGCGGCUCGCACUCCGUCGCAGUCGCUCAGCUGCGCCAUGGGCACAUCGCUCGGCGUCGUUGUCCUCUUCGAUCGCCGAUGGACGGUGCUCGGCAUAUGCGGCUCCGUAGAGGCGAGUGUGGUGAAUGCCCGUGGCGCCGUCGUCUCCCUGUCACUCUGCACCUCCACCGCUGCUCUUGUUGGAGUCGAUGAGACAUGCGAUGGGCGAACGGCAGCCACUGGUCACGCAAGAGGCACGUUUGUUCUUUGGUCGCUGCACACGUUCUCCCCUCUGCGAGUCGUGUCCGAUGAGAGCAGGGUGCCGGUGCUGCGUGUAAUGCACCUGCAUCGCGACCCGACACGCAUUCUCGUCCUGGAUAGCAGUGGUGCCGUGAGGUUUUUUCAGUUUUGGAAAGUGAUGGCGAAGUACAUGUUGCGCGCCACCUCCGUCACCUCCGCUUUAGUGGCGGCGCCGAUCAGUGACAUUGAUACGCUGCCGUGUCCCAGCAGCUUCUACAUGGCUAAUCUGACAACGCUGAAGCAGCACAUGCCGUGCAGCAACGGAGAGGAAAGCGAUGGUGACGUCAGCGCGCCGUGGCUAUGCGCACCCCCACCGCUUCCACCGGCAACGGCCACCGCGGCAGGCAUAUCGCGGACGACGUGGCCCGCCAUCGCUGGCAAGCACUUUGUCGCCGCGGUAAGCAAUGAUGCGGUGCUGGUAUACGUUGUAGAGACAGGAUUGCAGGGCACCGUCACAGGCGUGGCGCGCCACAGCCACCCACCCUCGUCGGCGCUCAGCAACGAGCUCGUUCGCUUUGUCGUGAUGGAGCUAGGGACGUCGACGCCGCGGCUGCUGCUGUGCAUCUCUUGGAACACAGAGGUGGAGCUGCUGUUGGUGAAUCUGCGGCUCCCAGAGCCGAGCGGCAGCAGGAAGACGGCAGCGGCAGAGCCGAUGCUGGAAGGCCUGGAGCGGCUUGCCCUGCUGCGGGUGUCGGCGCCGCUGGUGCAGAUGGUUCCGCUGGCGGGAUGCAGCGUGCUCCUGUGUGACCAAAACAGUGACGCUCAGCUCAUGGACGCAUCCGUGGCGGUUAUGGUGGAGCGGCACCGUUUUGGCUCUCUCGAGUACGUUGGCUUCGCAGGCCGUCUGUGUGGCGUCAAAUACCACGGGACCGCCGCGUCGAACCGCGCCGCGGCGUUGCUGAUGGGCAAAGAGCACGCCUACGGCAUCUCGCUUCGUUCGUGGCGAGAGAGACUGUCCUCACUUCUAGCGCGCCGCAAGUACACCCAGGCACUGGACCUCGCGAAAGGGUUCGCCGAGGAAGUAGCGCUCUCCACCGUCGGCUUCAGCAGCAACGCCGCGAACUGCCGCCGCGAACUGCAUCAGUUCAUGGAGCGCAUCCUCAUCGCAUACGUGGAGAGCCGUCUUGCUGCGCUGCCGAGGACCGAGGCGACAGGCAAGAGCAGUGGCGGACCGCCAAAGCAGUCAGCAGGAAACAGUGGCCCUAUUUGCGGGGCCGAGUGCCUUCUUGAUGUGCUGCAGCAAAUUGCAUCCUACUGCAGCGCCGUCGACGGAUUAAACUUGCUGUAUGGCCCCGUCGCCCUCGCACUUCAGCAGCGGGGGCUGCUUUCGCACCUGCUGUACGUGCUAGAGCAGUGUAUGCGGCACGGCAUUAUCACGUACAUGCCCGAGACGCUGAUUGAGCGAUUUAUUCAUCUGUUCCUCGAUGAUGCUGAACUCGAUGCGGUGGAGGUGGCGCUGGGAAUGCGGCCGCGAGCACCACAAGAUGGAAAGGAAGCGCGAGGCGACGUACUCGAUGCGGGGCAGGUUGCAGAUUCAGCCGCGAAGAUAAGCGGCAGGGACCGUGUGGAGCUGGCCCUUAUGUUCCUCGACUCGGGCGCUCCUACUUUGCUGCGGCUUGCGCAAGAGCACGGUUUGGUACGCCUAACUGUGACCAUCUUGUCGCUGCGGCAGCAGCGCUACGUCGACGCCCUGGCGUACGCGUUGGACGAGGAGCAGAAAGCAGACGAUGGCCUUCACGGGAGUGACCGUGGCACAGACGUCUGUGCGUCACGGGUACUGGCGUGCCCAAAUCUUUUCGGCUCACCCGACGCCGCCUCUGUGGCUGUUGACUUCGUCGAGUGUACCUUGAAGGGUGUCAGCCUCCUGCCAGGGGCUUCUCUUGCCAUCGGUGAACAACGUCCGGCCAAGAGGGCGAUUCUCGAGUAUCUUCUGAGGACGGCCCCCAGCGACGGCAGGAACGCACACAGCAGUGCCGUUGGUGGUGGGGUGCACAACCUGCUCCGUUUCUUGCGACGGCAGCCGGAGCACGCCAUGCGUGUGCUCCUGUUCGCCCUCUCCGACGAAGGUCCGUGUAGUCCGUGGGGCGGCGCUGAUGGACUCUCUCGCACCCAGUUUGUGUCUAGUGUAUAUUUCAUCUUGACUGGGGGCUCACGCACGCGGCCGCGCCACGCAACGGAGAGCGACUUGCUGUCGGCGAGCGGCCAACGGCAGGGGCCGCUGGAUCUUUUCCGCAUUGACGAUGAUUCGUUGAACCGCCUCCCGGCCCUGCGGACGCUGAAGGCGACCGAGCUGGCGCAGCGCCCCUUCCCGCCGUACAUCGCUGUCCACACCUUCCUCGCUGGGGCCGCCAUCUUCAAUGAGCUUUUUCUCUCCACGGACGCCGGCGAGCUCGCCAGCGACGAGCCGGACCGUCCGCCUGUGCGCCUCGACGUGUGGCUUGACCUGGUCAUCCAAGACGUGCUCUUUGCGUUUCAGAGCGCUGAGAGGGCCGAGGAGCGGCGAGAAUUGCAGGAGCACCUGCUCCGCGUCCUCGCCCCCGACCUGCUUCCGCCAUAUCGUGUCGCCGUCUUUCAGUCAGACUUCACGCGGCUUCGCAUGGCGCGCUGCCUGGCCGCCCUCUUUUGCAAGGAGCAGCGGUAUGCAGAGGCGAUUGCGUGCUACACGGACCCUUUGCAGAACUGCGUGGAUGCGCACCUACAGCAAGACGUGUUCAAGAUGCUCCGUGACGAGAUGCAGCACUUGCAAGACAUGAGGACGCAAACAAUGAACCGCGCCCAGCAAGAGUCGAGUCAGAGCCAACGCCUUGAAAACAGCGCGCGUGACAGCGAUCGCGAUGCCGCGUCGCUUAUGGGCGGAUCGGCCACGUCUGAGGUGGGCGGAGGCUUUGACGACAUCGUCGAGCAACACUUCAGUAAGGAGUCCUCGUUGAUCUCGCCCACCGUUACCGCCACAACCACGGCUCCUAUCGACGCUGCCAUCAAGGCCCUCCAGCGAGCGGUGAUGAGCCAGGUGGAGUUGCUCGUCCGCAUCGACGCGACGGCGCUCGCGCAGUUCAUCUUCGACUACUUGCCGUCGAACCAACGCGAGGUGAUAAAUCUACUUCGCGGCUCUAGCGCCGCCUUCAUGGACUACCUCGAUGAGCUGGUGACCCAAGGCGACCAGGCGGUAGCAAACGACAUGAGCUUGCAGAAUACGUACAUUGAGCUCCUCUGCGCACAUGCUCCGAGGCGCGUGUACAGCUAUCUGCAGGAAAAGGGCAAUCGAGUCACCUACGAUGUGCAGCUGGCGCUGCGUGCCGUGCGCAAGCACCGCAUCGCCGACGCCGCCGUAUACUUGCUGGAAAAGGCGAUGAUGAUCGAAGAUGCGAUGACGGUGAUGCUGCGGGCCGUGCGCGAGCUGCUCGGUGCUCUUCGCGAAGAGGUUUUGACCCGCGUGACUACAGGUGCGGAAGCAGCAGCUGAGGCGCAGGGCGACCAAGACCGUGACGGAUCAUCUCCCCCGCUGUUCACAAGCACACCCGGUACUGAAGCAGGCGAAGCGGCGACGCAGCGCGGAUGCAGGAGGCGCUCGACUCGCGGAAAGGAUGCCCCGCCGCUGACGUUCGAACUCGCCACUUUGGAUUCCGCGACUGAGUUAUGGCGCUUUGUCGGCAUCGGGGAGGAGCUGUGCGGCAGGCAUCAAGCAGAGCGCGUCACGGGGGGCUCGUCGACCACUGACGCCGCCGCCCCUCUUGCAGCCGUGUCUUCGCGCACCUUUUCUUCGGCUACGCACGCGUUUCCCGGCGGCUCUCCGCAGCACCCCGAGUACUGGUUUCGACUGCUUGAUGUCUUCAUGGUGCCACGCCGGCUCUUGUGCGAGAUGAUGACGCAGGAUGAUCGGCUGCACGCUCUCGACACAGCCCCGGUGCCAGCUCGGCCAUUCGCAAGCAGCGACCCCACAGGUAUGAGCAACGAGCUGGAUGCUGCCGCUCACAUCGCCAUGGCGUCCCAUGCUGGUGCGGCAGCCGCGUCGCUGGCACACCCGCUCUCUGCUGCGGGGCCACCGCAGCACUUGGCGAGCUUGACCACACCCCUCAGCAGAGGGCAGAGACGGUGCGUCGAAGCGCUUGUCGCGGUCUACACCCAGUACACCUCCAGCAUUCUGCAAUCGAUGAUGCGCUCCCUCGACAUCGCCGUCGUCGUGGACAAGGUGGUGCAAGACAACAAGGACGGGACAUUUCGCGCCCUCAAGCCCAUUCUUUUGGAUAUGAUGGCCACCCUCAGCUUCGACCUCGAGGCGAGUCGUCUGUGCAAGCUUGCGACAGAGCGUGACGUGAUACUGCUGGGACGCGAGCUCUAUCAGAUGCUAAACAGGAGCGUUGUGCCACAGUCGGACUGCUGUGCCUUUUGCCACAUUCACCUCUGUAAGCCGCCUCUGCCGCAGCCAGCGGGAGACGAGGUGGGUGCUGCUGCCGCUGUCGACCUCGUACCUUUGGCAGUUUCCGUGUACACGUGUGGGCACGCCUUCCACACGGUCUGCGCUGCGCAGGCGAUGGGGUCGCGCCAGGGGUGCGGGAUUUGCAUGCGGAGCAGGUGUUCUUCUGGCAAGCCGGGAGGAUCCGAGGUUUGUGGCAAUGCCAGUGGUGCAUCAGCCGCGUGGCCUUCCACAAGCGGCGGCGCUGCUGCCGAUCGCGCUGGGCACCGGGACCAUGCCGACCCUGUGACCACCGUGGUCAUGCGGGCAGCGGAGAGGACCAUCGAUGUGGCUCGCAUGCAGCGCCGCGUGCGCCAGACGAAAAUGAAGAUGGACCACCCCGAAGACCUCUACUCCGUGCUGAAGUCGCUCCUGGCAUGGGACACCACGGCAUCCGACUCUUCGCUCGGCAAAGCUGGACCUGGUGUGACGAGAGACAGGUCAGGCAACUGUGUGCUUGCGCCGUCUCCAUCAGUGCCUGCCGUGGUCGGGCAGGUGCACGACCCCGUGACAGGCGGGGUGACAACCACGCAGGACAAGGUCCUCGACACCCUCACUGAUGCGGAGAUCCUGGAGCUGUUUGGCGGGGCCUGAUGCGUAGAGUCUUCACUUGAUCCUUGGUUGCGGGGACCUCUGCUAUGGUUAGCUCGUGCGCUUGAAAUGAUGGAGACCUAAUGGUGUCCGCCUUUCCCACGGGUGCGUCGCUGAUUUAACCGCACUUCGCUUCCGUCGUUUUCUCGACUCUUGCUUCCCGGCAUGCGUGCGCGGGGGAGGGGAAUUGCUCACCGAACCGCCCGUAACAAAAAAAAAAGAAAGGGGGACCCUUUGCGAAGUUGUUGUGCGCGGCUGUGCCACCGCACACGUCGACUCCCCGCGUACGCGUUCCAUCUCUAGCUGCGAUCCCUCUAUGCUGUUCUCGUCCCCUUCAUUACUGCUUUGUCUUCGACGCCGAUCCUUCGACACACAAAACACACGCACACGGGCGAACAAG
RNAcentral lists this unclassified non-coding RNA (7195 nucleotides) under Leishmania donovani. RNAcentral describes it as "gene:LdHU3.36.6850(CDS-product:Region_in_Clathrin _and_VPS_putative)". The record is from RNAcentral. Lineage: Eukaryota; Euglenozoa; Kinetoplastea; Trypanosomatida; Trypanosomatidae.